This 1127-nucleotide long non-coding RNA is filed under the name Homo sapiens (human). RNAcentral describes it as "HSALNT0360590". The record is from RNAcentral. Lineage: Eukaryota; Metazoa; Chordata; Mammalia; Primates; Hominidae.
ACUCUGUGAGCCAUUGCUCCCUGGCUCCCUACUGGGUAAGAUGAGGUCAAUGCCAAUGACUCAGUUGAAUCCUGCCGUCCAGGAAUGUGCAGUGUGCAAGUAUAACAAUGACCUCUACAAAAUAGCAAAUGCAUCAUAUUAAAAGGCUGCUACCUGCAUAGCAAGGAGACCAGGUCUGAGUUAUGUGUCACCAUCGCAGAACCAGAGAAGAGCCCAGUGUCUGGUACCACAGCUGACACGAUCAAUGUCAAGUGAGUGAGGGGAGGCUGUUGCGGUGCCAGCAGGAGGUGCCAGGGCCCUGCUUAUUGAAUCAAAAUGACCAGCACAGGAGCACCUGUUCUUGCUGCUGAUGGGAAAGGUGGCAGGCAAGCUGGAGGCCAAGGUUGAAUUGCAGUGGGCACCUGCUCUUCUGGGACAGGAAGAGAGUCAGAGCGAGACAGGAUGGUAUUGGUCAGAAAAGGUGAAGAGUAAACAACGCAGGGAGGCUGAAAGCUCUUCCGGGACAGGAAGAGAGUCAGAGCGAGACGGGAUGGUAUUGGUCAGAAAAGGUGAAGAGCAAACAACGCAAGGAGGCUGACAGCUCUUCCCUUUGACUCUGAGCAUCGCUUCUUCACCACGUUCUAAGAAUCGACCAGAGAAGCUGGCUUGUCUGACAGCUCCUGUUGCAGAAAACCAUAGGCCCCAAAAAUGGAUAAAUUAACAAACAAGGAGAGCAGAAUUCACAAGAUGAUCUUGUCCACCUCUCUAAUUCCACAGAUGGAAAAAACAGAGACCUCGCAGUGAUGCUAAACUCCACCGAGGACAUCUCAGACCAAUGCCACCAAAGCCUGUGAACUGACUGAGGGAGUUGCAACAUGGGCCCACCAUAGAACGCGAACGCAAAUAGAUGUGGACAGCGUAUUCACUAGUCUCCUCUUCAAUAGCAUCUACCAUCAUCAGAAGAUUUUGCUCCCUCUACUUGGAUAUCUCAGAAAUGAAUUGCCCAGGCUGUACCCACCAAGCAGCUGAAUGUCAGUAAGCCAGCCAACAGAAGAUCCUGCUCAUGAGAAAGUAAUUCAUAAACCAGAGCCUCUUGCAGAAAGCAAAGUUGAAAAUCAGAAGUUUACACAGAGAAAGAAAGAAAUCUG